Molecule: long non-coding RNA, 1114 nt
Filed under: Hordeum vulgare
Lineage: Eukaryota; Viridiplantae; Streptophyta; Magnoliopsida; Poales; Poaceae
Description: long non-coding RNA (HVUL_LNC009714)
Source: RNAcentral
AACAGGCUCCACUGACAAAACAAGUCGCAUAUAAUGCUUCACAUGCAAGGGCUCUUACUCAAAGUCGCCACAAAACAUUUGAGUGUCCUACAAGAAGAACAAUGAACGUCAACGCAGAUGGUGGGUACGACUCUACAAGCGAACAUGAAUAAGAAUCACUGGAUCAUGUGGCUAUGAACCGCCAAGUAAAUGAUACGAAAGAUGGUCAAGUCUUUUGUGACAAUGAUUCCAGCCCAGCUCUUGCUGUCUCAAAGAUUUUGACACUUCAACAAAACGAAGAUGACCAACAAUGCCAUAUCUUCCAAACCAAAACAGGCAUACGAGGAAGAUCAAUCAAAGUGAUAAUCGAUAGAGGAAGUUGCCAUAAUUUGGUUAGUGAAGAGCUUCGUUCCAAAUUGCAUCUAUCAAGAAGAAGCGUCCGCGCCCAUAUAGAAGGUUCAAUGGUUGAGCGACUCCGACAGCAUAUAAGUGGAGCACACAGUGGGAGUAUCUUCCAAGAUCGGCGCCUAUGAAGACACAUUGGAAUGUGAUGUAGUUCUCAUGCCCACAUCUCAUCUUCUAUUUGGACGUCCACGGCAAUAUGACCGUGGAGUAAUGCAUAAUGGACGCACAAACCAUUAUAGCUUCAAGUGGAAGGGCAAGAAGUAUGUACUUCGAUCUAUGACCCCAAGUCAAGUCAUCGCCAGCAAACACCAAUCUCCGAACCAUCUUGGAGAGUCUAGUGAGCGAGAGAGCCACCAUAAAGUGGGUGAAACAAGCCAAAAAUGAGUACCUCCAUGAGGAGUGGUUAAAAUGAUGUAGUUCUCUUAGCCAAAAAGAAAGACUUGUGAGAAGUGAGUGAGCGCCCAUCACAUGUUCUUCAGUUUGUACUCCUGUACAAAGAUGGGGUCAUUAUGAUUAACAACCCACAACAUCUUCCUAGUGCUUUGUCAAAUUUGUUGCAGGAAUUCAAGGGUGUGUUUCCCUCUGAGCUACCACCAAGACUACCUCCUCUACAAGGGAUCGAACACUGCAUCAACCUCAUCCCCGGCACACCCCUACCGAAUUGACCUUCAUACCGUGUCAACCCUGAGGACACCAAAGAGAUACAACGGCAAGUUUAACACCUCUAGAA